Molecule: small RNA, 652 nt
Filed under: Pongo abelii (Sumatran orangutan)
Lineage: Eukaryota; Metazoa; Chordata; Mammalia; Primates; Hominidae
Description: retained intron
Source: RNAcentral
GGUUGCCAUGAAAGAAAUUCUGUAUGGCACAAAUGAAAAAGAGCCUCAGACAGAAGCAGUAGCUCAGCUUGCUCAAGAACUCUAUAAUAGUGGGCUCCUUAGCACCCUGGUAGCUGAUUUACAGCUCAUUGACUUUGAGGGCAAAAAAGACGUGGCUCAAAUUUUCAACAAUAUUCUCAGAAGACAAAUUGGUACGAGAACUCCUACUGUUGAAUACAUCUGCACCCAACAGAAUAUUUUGUUCAUGUUAUUGAAAGGGUAUGAAUCUCCAGAAAUAGCUCUAAAUUGUGGAAUAAUGUUAAGAGAAUGCAUCAGACAUGAACCACUUGCAAAAAUCAUUUUGUGGUCGGAACAGUUUUAUGAUUUCUUCAGAUAUGUCGAAAUGUCAACAUUUGACAUAGCUUCAGAUGCAUUCGCCACAUUCAAGGUAACAAAAACUAGAAUUCUAAAUAUGCUUGAAAGUCAGAGGUGUGCUGUUUUUCUAAACCUUCAUUGCCCUCCUAAAUCUACAUGUGGCUGCCCUCUAGUGGGAAGAGAAAGAUACAUUUUAUAUGUGUUUGUGUGAUAGAGGUAUAUGCAGUAAAGUCACAGCUUUAAAAGGGUGGAAAAGUUAGAUUCUAAAGUCUGUCUAAAAGGCAAAAGUCCUGUGUGG